ACCGCCUCGCGAGAGCGCUGUGACGAAGCUACCGCGGCCCCGCAGGCGUGAGGGAGGGGAGGGGGUGCGGCUGCCGGCUGCCAGCGGAGGGCUUGGCGGGGCCAUCCAGUAGGGGAGCGGGAAGGAGCUUUACGGAGCGUUUGAUCUAACACGGGGAUGAUUAACAAAGAUGGACAACAGCAUUAUAGUCACUUUGGGCAGCUGAAGCUGACCACGUAAGUGCAGCAUACCAAGUCAGGCGAGGAAGGGGCAUAAAAUUUGCCCUCUGAAAAAAAAAGAGAAGAAACACCCCUCACUUGCAGAAAGAAAAUUCUGACUGGGAAAUACCAGGGAGCUUGUAUGAAAAGCAGUAAGACAAACAGAUCUGAUCUCUUUGUGGCCCAUGUCAAAAUUCCUCUGGAUGGCAGCAAGACUGGGAUCCAACUGGAAUCACGCAGAUGCAGCUGCCAGGAAACACGAGUAACCUGUGUGCAUGACUACCUUUGUGUUUACACUUCGUGCAUCUUCCAGCAAUGCACCUCUUUUUGGGACAGGGCAGUUUUUAAGUCUGAUCCUCUCAGUGUGCUGCUGGUUGUGCACCCACACAAACGGGGGAACCAGCUGGACACAGGUCUCGCCAACUCUUUCUGAGAUGUGUUGCAGAUGGAGCACAGAGACUCUCAGACUCUAAGGUGAUAUAUGAAUCCUGAGGCAAAAGAAGACCUGAACCCAAACAAUCAACUGAGGCUUUUACCAUCUGACCAACUUCCUCUACAGUCUUACUGGAUGAUAAUGAAAAAUAAGUGGUUCAUUUCACCAAUAAUCUAAUAAUACAGAAUUUGUAUUAUAUGCAUAUGCGUACACAUGCAAAAGAUAGAAAUUUGUUUGUAUUUUUUUAGGUAAUAUUUAUGACCUAAUGACUUUUUAUGUAAUAUAUGCACUGCUUCUGUAGAUACAAAUUAUAGAUAGACAUAUGCUUUUAAAAUGUGCUAGUAUGACACUUGUAUGACAUGUCUCUCAAUGAAGAAUUAAUAUUUCUUACUUUUUUUCUCCUUUCAUUUCUCAUUGCAAUGCACAAGAAAGCAGUUUCAGCUUAUUUUGGCGGAGGUGCACUUAGAAAUGUGUAGCGUUUAUUUGCAGUACUGCUCUCACAAAAUGUUGCCAUGCUGUGGCACUUCUUUGAAGUUCUUCUCUGAAAGGUUCUUUGCAAAGGCUGUGUAGGAGGCUUUGCAACCGGGAGGUUUGGAAUUGUUUUUCUGAAAAUUAUUCUGAAAAGUCUGUCCUUUUCAAGGUCUUGGCCAGGUGCACAGCUAUUUUCCUCUUUCCAUUUCCUUUAACUCUGCAGCACAGAAUAAUAGGCCCUAUCUGAAAUUUUAUAUAUGUAAUGCAUUGCAGACUCUGCCACAUACUUCCCUUUUCAGCAGGCUUAUUGAACACCAAGGCACUUGCAGUGAUUCUUCUGUCAGCCUAACAUUCAGUCUCUCAGAGAUCAGCCAAACGUAGGGACCAGUUCUACCACCACCACGCUCAUGGUGCUUUCUUUACAUUACAUUCCCAAACGUCAAUGGAUCUCUCAUAAAUUGCUAUGAUCUGUGUCAAGAUAGAGUUCUCAGCAUGUGUCUCAUGCUCACCUGCAUCACCAAACAGCCUCACAAGGAAGGUGUCUCCAUGAAUACUGACCAGCCAGCAACAGCACUGCAGCCAGUCCCCUGAGAGAAAGCUCCCUCCAGUUUUGACCACUGCCACAGAAAGGAGAACGAGAGCCCCCAACGCACUCCAAUGCUAUUCUUCAUGGGAUCUCAGCUCAUCACGACACAGAAGAAGAAACACUAGAAACUGACUUGUAACCAGUGCUCUUCACUCAGUGUUGUCAAGCACAUGUGUCACUGGGCUGGUAGAUUAAACCUGUGUCCAUAAUGAAGAGGAGGAGCCAAGUGGUCCACCAGUAAAGAUCCCAGUCUGCUUCAGUUGGUUCCUUUCCUGAUGGAUGCCACAAAUAUCCUGCACAGAACACAGCACAGACCACGUUAAUGCAGCACACCAGGGUGGCAGUGGCACUCUUCUAAGGCUGUUCCUCCAGGAAGCUCACCAACAUCCUUGCAGGAUCAGUCUGAAGCUACGCUUUGACACUUUGCCUUUUGCAUAGAGAGGCGGCCCUAAGGUUUUUGCAUACAUUGAUACGUACAUGAAAAAGCAGAUACUUGCCCUAGUCCCAGGCACUUGCAGUAAAGAUCCAUAGAGAACUUGAAUAAUCAUAAUUUCUUAGUGCAUUAAAGAGUUCAGACUACAGAAAGAAGACAUUUCCGAGAAACAGAUUUUAUAGACUGAGCUGAACAGAUUUUUGGCAUUAUUUGUAAGCCAGUCAUUGUUAAGCCUUUGUACUUAGAAGAGCAAUUAUGACUCCUUUGGAAACAUCCUUAGUUGAACUCUUAAAAUAAUAAAAACACUCCUCCGUAAGA
Gallus gallus (chicken) is the source of this 2438-nucleotide long non-coding RNA. RefSeq lists it as uncharacterized. The transcript is spliced from 2 exons. The record is from RefSeq and is a predicted model, not a curated record. Lineage: Eukaryota; Metazoa; Chordata; Aves; Galliformes; Phasianidae.